GGAAAGGCGCGCGAUACAGGGUGACAGCCCCGUACACAAAAGCGCAUGUGCUGUGAGCUCGAUGAGUAGGGCGGGACACGUGGUAUCCUGUCUGAAUAUGGGGGGACCAUCCUCCAAGGCUAAAUACUCCUGACUGACCGAUAGUGAACCAGUACCGUGAGGGAAAGGCGAAAAGAACCCCGGCGAGGGGAGUGAAAAAGAACCUGAAACCGUGUACGUACAAGCAGUGGGAGCCCCACCACUAAGCCAGUGGUGAACUCCACAUACGCAUCCUUUGCUGAGGAUGCGGUUAACGGAGCGAAAGCGACGUUCAACCGCAAAAGAAGCAGAGGGGGCUUAGUGGUGGGGUGACUGCGUACCUUUUGUAUAAUGGGUCAGCGACUUAUAUUCUGUAGCAAGGUUAACCGAAUAGGGGAGCCGGAGGGAAACCGAGUCUUAAUUGGGCGUUAAGUUGCAGGGUAUAGACCCGAAACCCGGUGAUCUAGCCAUGGGCAGGUUGAAGGUUGGGUAACACUAACUGGAGGACCGAACCGACUAAUGUUGAAAAAUUAGCGGAUGACCUGUGGCUGGGGGUGAAAGGCCAAUCAAACCGGGAGAUAGCUGGUUCUCCCCGAAAGCUAUUUAGG
This 626-nucleotide ribosomal RNA is filed under the name Salmonella enterica subsp. enterica serovar Oranienburg. RNAcentral describes it as "bacterial LSU rRNA". It matches the Rfam family "Bacterial large subunit ribosomal RNA", at positions 344 to 874 of the family's 2925-position model. Lineage: Bacteria; Pseudomonadati; Pseudomonadota; Gammaproteobacteria; Enterobacterales; Enterobacteriaceae. The record is from RNAcentral.